RNAcentral lists this ribosomal RNA (781 nucleotides) under uncultured Chloroflexota bacterium. RNAcentral describes it as "bacterial SSU rRNA". It matches the Rfam family "Bacterial small subunit ribosomal RNA", at positions 9 to 795 of the family's 1533-position model. The record is from RNAcentral. Lineage: Bacteria; Bacillati; Chloroflexota.
GAGUUUGAUCCUGGCUCAGGGUGAACGCUGGCGGUACGCCUAAUGCAUGCAAGUCGAGCGUGCCGGGCCCGAUUCGUCGGGACCGGAAAGCGGCGGACGGCUGAGUAACGCGUGAGUAACCUGUCCCUCGGUGGGGUAAAACCCCGAGAAAUCGAGGCUAAUACCGCGUACGGUCUUCUAGCCUUGGCUAGGAGACGAAAGUCCCGUGAAUAGCGGGAUGCCGGAGGAGGGGCUCGCGUCCUAUCAGGUAGUUGGUGGGGUAAUGGCCUACCAAGCCGUUGACGGGUAGCUGGUCUGAGAGGAUGAUCAGCCAGAGGGGGACUGCGACACGGCCCCCACUCCUACGGGAGGCAGCAGCAGGGAAUUUUGGGCAAUGGGCGAAAGCCUGACCCAGCGAUACCGCGUGGGGGAAGAAGGCCCACGGGCUGUAAACCCCUUUUCCGAGGGAAGAGUAAGGACGGUACCUCGGGAAUAAGCCCCGGCUCACUACGUGCCAGCAGCCGCGGUAAUACGUAGGGGGCAAGCGUUACCCGGAUUUACUGGGCGUAAAGGGCGAGUAGGCGGCUUGCCAAGUCUCAUGUGGAAUCUCCCGGCUCAACUGGGAGGGGUCAUGAGAAACUGGCAGGCUUGAGGUCAGCAGAGGAGAGUGGAAUUCCCGGAGUAGCGGUGAAAUGCGUAGAUACCGGGAGGAACAACCGAGGCGAAGGCGACUCUCUGGGCUGCACCUGACGCUGAGGCGCGAAAGCAUGGGGAGCAAACCGGAUUAGAUACCCUGGUAGUC